GGCGGUUAAUUUUGGCCGGGGCUUUGCCCGCGGCCAAUAUUUGGCACAGGGAGGCCCCUCGUAAAGUCUCGCGGCAUUCCGAGUCCGGCGGACGAAGUAGGCCAGCCCUACCCCCCAAGGCUAUAGCCCACCCGUUUUUGUGGCCUUUUUCCGCUGGACGAACUUGGCGCCUCGGCCUUCGGGCGGUUAUUUUUGGGCGCGGCUUUGCGCGCGGCCUAUUUUUGGCACACAGAGGCCCCUGCCAAAGUCUCCCGGCAUUCCGAGUCCGGCGGACGAAGUUGGCCAGCCCCACUCCCCAAGGCUAUAGCCCACCCGUUUUUGUGGCCUUUUUCCGCUGGACGAACUUGGCGCCCCGGCCUUCGGGCGGUUAUUUUUGGGCGCGGCCUAUUUUUGGUACACGGAGGCCCUUCGCAAUGUCUCGCGGCAUUCCGAGUCCGGCGGACGAAGUUGACCAGCCCCACCCCCCAAGGCUAUAGUCCACCCGUUCUUGUGGCCUUUUUCCGCUCGACGUACUUGGCGCCCCGGCCUUCGGGCGGUUAUUUUUGGGCGCGGCUUUGCCCGCGGCCUAUUUUUGGCAUACGGAGGCCCCUAGCGCAUGAUUAUUGGCAUAGAGAUGCAGGCAGACGAAGUUGGCCAGCAUCUUCCCCCAAGGCUAUAGCCCACCCGUUUUUGUUGCCUUUUUCCGCUGGACGAACUUGGCGCCCCAGCCGUCGGGUGGUUAUUUUUGGGCGCGGCUUUGCCCACGGCCUAUUUUUUGGCACACGGAGGCCCCUCGCAAAGUCUCGCGGCAUUCCGACUCCGGCGGACGAAGUUGGCCAGCAUCACCCCCAAAGGCUAUAGCCCACCCGUUUUUGUGGCCUUUUUCCGCUGGACGAACUUGGCGCCCCGGCCGUCGGGUGGUUAUUUUUGGGCGCGGCUUUCUCCGCGACCUGUUUUUGGCACACGGAGGCCCCUCGCAAAGUCUCGCGUCAUUCUGAGUCCGGCGGACGAAGUUGGCCAGCCCCACCCCCCAAGGCUAUAGCCCACCCGUUUUUGUGGCCUUUUUCCGCUGGACGAACUUGGCGCCCCGGCCUUCGAGCGGUUAUUUUUGGACGCGGCUUUGCCCGCUGCCUAUUUUUGGCAAACGGAGGCCCCUCGCAAAGGCUCGCGGCAUUCCGAAUCCGGCGGACGAAGUUGGCCAGCCCCACCCCCCAAGGCUAUAGCCCACCCGUUUUUGUGGCCUUUUUCCGCUGGACGAACUUGGCGCCCCGGCCGUCGGGUUGUUAUUUUUGGGAGCGGCUUUGCCCGCGGCCUUUUUUUGGCACACGGAGGCCCCUCGCAAAGUCUCGCGUCAUUCUGAGUCCGGCGGACGAAGUUGGCCAGCCCCACCCCCCAAGGCUAUAGCCCACCCGUUUUUGUGGCCUUUUUCCGCUGGACGUACUUGGCACCCCGGCCUUCGGGCCGUUAUUUUUAGGCGCGGCUUUGCCCGCGGCCUAUUUUUGGCAUACGGAGGCCCCUCGCAAAGUCUCGCGGCCUUCCGAGUCCGGUGGACGAAGUAGGCCGGCAUCACCCCCCAAGGCUAUAGCCCACCCGUUUUUGUGGCCUUUUUCCGCUGGACGAGCUUGGCGCCCCGGCCGUCGGGCGGUUAUUUUUGGGCGCGGUUUUGACCACGGCCUAAUUUUUGCACACGGAGGCCCCUUGCAAAGUCACGCGGCAUUCCGAGUCCAGCAGACGAAGUUGGCCAGCAUCACCCCCCAAAGCUAUAGCCCACCCGUUUUUGUGGCCUUUUUCCGCUGGACGAACUUGGCGCCCCGGCCUUCGGGCGGUUAUUUUUGGGUGUUGCUUUGCCCGCGGCCUAUUUUUGGGACACGGAGGCCCCUCGCAAAGUCUCGCGGCAUUCCGAGUCCGGCGGACGAAGUUGGCCAGCCCCACCCCCCAGGGCUAUAGCCCACCCGUUUUUGUGGCCUUUUUCCGCUGGACGUGCUUGGCGCCCCGGCCUUCGGGCGGUUAUUUUUGGGUGCGGCUUUUCCUGUGGCCUAAUUUUGGCACACGGAGGCCCCUGGCAAAGUCUCACGGCAUUCCAAGUCCGGUGGACGAAGUUGGCCAGCCCCACCCCCCAAGGCUAUAGCCCACCCGUUUUUGUGUCCUUUUUCCGCUGGACGAACUUGGCGCCCCGGCCCUCGGGUGGUUAAUUUUGGGCGUGGCUUUGCCCGCAGCCUAUUUUUGGCACACGGAGGCCCCUCGCAAAGUCUCGCGGCAUUCCGAGUCCGGCGGAAGAAGUUGGCCAGCAUCACCCCCCAAGGCUAUAGCCCCCCCGUUUUUGUGGCCUUUUUCCGCUGGACGAACUUGGCGCCCCGGCCUUCGGGCGGUUAAUUUUGGGCGCGGCUUGGCCCACGGCCUAUUUUUGGCACACGGAGGCCCCUCACAAAGUCUCGCGGCAUUCCGAGUCCGGCGGACAAAGUUGGCCAGCAUCAACCCCCAAGGCUAUAGCCCACCCGUUUUUGUGGCCUUUUUCCGCUGGACGAACUUGGCGGCCCGGCCUUCGGCGGUUAUUUUUGGGCGCGGCUUUGCCCCCGGCCUAUUUUUGGCAAACGGAGGCCCCUCGCAAAGUCUCGCGGCAUUCUGAGUCCGGUGGACGAAGUUGGCCAGCCCCACCCCCCAAGGCUAUAGCCCACCCGUUUUUGUGGCCUUUUUCCGCUGGACGAACUUGGCACACCAGCCUUCGGGUGGUUAAUUUUGGGCGCGGCUUUGCCCGAAGCCUAUUUUUGGCACACGGAGGCCCCUCGCAAAGUCUCGCGGCAUUCCGAGUCCGGCGGACGAAGUUGGCCAGCAUCACCCCCCAAGGCUAUAGCCCACCCGUUUUUGUGGCCUUUUUCCGCUGGACGAACUUGGCGCCCCGGCCUUCGGGCGGUUAAUUUUGGGUGUGGCUUUGUCCGCGGCCUAUUUUUGGCACACGGAGGCCCCUCGCAAAGUCUCGCGGCAUUCCGAGUCCGGCGGACGAAGUGGGCCAGCCCCACCCCCCCAGGCUAUAGCCCACCUGUUUUUGUGGACUUUUUCCGCUGGAUGANNNNNNNNNNNNNNNNNNNNNNNNNNNNNNNNNNNNNNNNNNNNNNNNNNNNNNNNNNNNNNNNNNNNNNNNNNNNNNNNNNNNNNNNNNNNNNNNNNNNNNNNNNNNNNNNNNNNNNNNNNNNNNNNNNNNNNNNNNNNNNNNNNNNNNNNNNNNNNNNNNNNNNNNNNNNNNNNNNNNNNNNNNNNNNNNNNNNNNNNNNNNNNNNNNNNNNNNNNNNNGCUUUGCCCGCAGCCAAUUUUGCCACACGGAGGCCCCUCGCAAAAGUCUCGCGGCAUUCCGAGUCCGGCGGACGAAGUUGACCAGCAUCACCCCCCAAGGCUAUAGCCCACCCGUUUUUGUGGCUUUUUUCCGCUGGACGAACUUGGCGCCCCGGCGUUCGGGCGGUUAAUUUUGGGCGCGGCUUUGCCCGCAGCCUAUUUUUGGCAUACGGAGGCCCCUCGCAAAGUCUCGCGGCAUUCGGAGUCCGGCGGACGAAGUGGGCCAGCAUCACCCCCCAAGGCUAUAGCCCACCCGUUUUUCUGGCCUUUUUCCGCUGGACGAACUUGGCGCCCCGGCCUUCGGGCUGUUAAUUUUGGGCUUGACUUUGUCCGCGGCCUAUUUUUGGCACAUGGAGGCCCCUCGCAAAGUCUCGUGGCAUUCCGAGUCCGGCGGACGAAGUUGGCCAGCCCCACCCCCCAAGGCUAUUGGCCACUUGUUUUUGUGGCCUUUUUCCGCUGGACGAACUUGGCGCGCCGGCCUUCGGGCGGUUAUUUUUGGGCACGGCUUUGGCCGCGGCCUAUUUUUUGCACACGGAGGCCCCUCGCAAAGUCUCGCGGCAUUCCGAGUCCGGCGGACGAAUUUUGGCCAGCCCCACCACCCAAGGCUAUAGCCCACCCGUUUUUGUGGCCUUUUUCCGCUGGACGAACUUGGCGCCCCGGCCUUCGGGCGGUUAUUUUUGGGCGCGGCUUUGCCCGCGGCCUAUUUUUGGCACACGGAGAACCCUCCGAAAGUCUCGCGGCAUUCCGAGUCCGGCGGACGAAGUUGGCCAGCCCCACCCCCCAAGGCUAUAGCCCACCCGUUUUGGUGGCCUUUUUCCGCUGGACGAACUUGGCGUCCCGGCCUUCGGGCAGUUACUUUUGGGCGCGGCUUUGCCCGCGGCCUAUUUUUGGCACACGGAGGCCCCUCGCAAAGUCUCGCGCCAUUCCGAGUCCGGCGGACAGGUUGGCCAGCCCCAACCCCAAGGCUAUAGCCCACCCGUUUUUGAGGCCUUUUUCCGCUGGACGAACUUGGCGCCCCGGCCUUCGGGCAGUUAUUUUUGGGCGCGGCUUUGCCCGUGGCCUAUUUUUGGCACACGGAGGCCCCUCGUAAAGUCUCGCGGCAUUCCGAGUCCGGCGGAAAGGUUGGCCAGCCCCACCCCCAAGGCUAUAGCCCACCCGUUUUGGCGGCCUUUUUCCGCUGGACGAACUUGGCGCCCCGGCAUUCGGGCAGUUAUUUUUGGGCGCGGCUUUGCCCCCGGCCUAUUUUUGGCACACGGACGCCCCUCGCAAAGUCUCGCGGCAUUCCGAGUCCGGCGGACGAGGUCGGCCAGCCCCACCCCCCAAGGCUAUAGCCCACCCGUUUUUGUGGCCUUUUUCCGCUGGACGAACUUGGCGCCCCGGGCUUCGGGUGGUUAAUUUUGGGCUCGGCUCUGCCCGCAGCCUAUUUUUUGCACACGGAGGCCCCUCGUAAAGUCUCGCAGCAUUCCGAGUCCGGCGGACGAAGUGGGCCAGCAUCACCCCCCAAGGCUAUAGCCCACCCGUUUUUGUGGCCUUUUUCCGCUGGACGAACUUGGCGCCCCGGCCUUCGGGCUGUUAAUUUUGGGCUCGACUUUGUCCGCGGCCUAUUUUUGGCACAUGGAGGCCCCUCGCAAAGUCUCGCGGCAUUCCGAGUCCGGCGGACGAAGUUGCCCAGCCCCACCCCCCAAGGCUAUAGCCCACCCGUUUUGGUGGCCUUUUUCCGCUGGACGAACUUGGCGCCCCGGCCUUCGGGCGGUUAUUUUGGGCG
This 5071-nucleotide long non-coding RNA is filed under the name Citrus x clementina. RNAcentral's name for it is "Citrus clementina (C. clementina) long non-coding RNA (CCLE_LNC001715)". Lineage: Eukaryota; Viridiplantae; Streptophyta; Magnoliopsida; Sapindales; Rutaceae. The record is from RNAcentral.